GACAGAGGUGCCGAGCGUUAGGCGGAAUCACUGGGCUUAAAGCGUGUGUAGGCGGAUGCCUAAGUACCUUGUGAAAACUCGAGGCUCAACCUCGAGACGCCGAUGGAAACCCCCUGGCUAGAGUCCGGAAGAGGAGAAUGGAAUUCCUGGUGUAGCGGUGAAAUGUGCAGAUAUCAGGAAGAACACCCGUGGCUAAGGCGGCUCUCUAGUACGGUACUGACGCUGAGACGCGAAAGCGUGGGGAGCGAACAGG
RNAcentral lists this ribosomal RNA (253 nucleotides) under uncultured bacterium. Its description in RNAcentral is "partial 16S ribosomal RNA". It matches the Rfam family "Bacterial small subunit ribosomal RNA", at positions 524 to 776 of the family's 1533-position model. The record is from RNAcentral.